UGGGGAAUAUUGGACAAUGGGCGAAAGCCUGAUCCAGCCAUGCCGCGUGUGUGAAGAAGGUCUUCGGAUUGUAAAGCACUUUAAGUUGGGAGGAAGGGCAGUCAGUUAAUACCUUGCUGUCUUGACGUUACCAACAGAAUAAGCACCGGCUAACUUCGUGCCAGCAGCCGCGGUAAUACGAAGGGUGCAAGCGUUAAUCGGAAUUACUGGGCGUAAAGCGCGCGUAGGUGGUUCAGCAAGUUGGAUGUGAAAGCCCCGGGCUCAACCUGGGAACUGCAUCCAAAACUACUGAGCUAGAGUACGGUAGAGGGUGGUGGAAUUUCCUGUGUAGCGGUGAAAUGCGUAGAUAUAUGGAGGAACACCAGUGGCGAAGGCGGUUGCCUGGCCUGUAACUGACGCU
RNAcentral lists this ribosomal RNA (400 nucleotides) under uncultured bacterium. RNAcentral's name for it is "bacterial SSU rRNA". It matches the Rfam family "Bacterial small subunit ribosomal RNA", at positions 355 to 747 of the family's 1533-position model. The record is from RNAcentral.